RNAcentral lists this ribosomal RNA (465 nucleotides) under Vreelandella stevensii. Its description in RNAcentral is "partial 16S ribosomal RNA". It matches the Rfam family "Bacterial small subunit ribosomal RNA", at positions 338 to 795 of the family's 1533-position model. The record is from RNAcentral. Lineage: Bacteria; Pseudomonadati; Pseudomonadota; Gammaproteobacteria; Oceanospirillales; Halomonadaceae.
CCUACGGGUGGCAGCAGUGGGGAAUAUUGGACAAUGGGCGAAAGCCUGAUCCAGCCAUGCCGCGUGUGUGAAGAAGGCCUUCGGGUUGUAAAGCACUUUCAGUGGGGAAGAAAGCCUUGGGGCUAAUACCCUCGAGGAAGGACAUCACCCACAGAAGAAGCACCGGCUAACUCCGUGCCAGCAGCCGCGGUAAUACGGAGGGUGCGAGCGUUAAUCGGAAUUACUGGGCGUAAAGCGCGCGUAGGCGGUCUGAUAAGCCGGUUGUGAAAGCCCCGGGCUCAACCUGGGAACGGCAUCCGGAACUGUCAGGCUAGAGUGCAGGAGAGGAAGGUAGAAUUCCCGGUGUAGCGGUGAAAUGCGUAGAGAUCGGGAGGAAUACCAGUGGCGAAGGCGGCCUUCUGGACUGACACUGACGCUGAGGUGCGAAAGCGUGGGUAGCAAACAGGAUUAGAUACCCCUUUAGUC